This is a long non-coding RNA of Beta vulgaris subsp. vulgaris (sugar beet), 2134 nucleotides long. RefSeq lists it as uncharacterized. Lineage: Eukaryota; Viridiplantae; Streptophyta; Magnoliopsida; Caryophyllales; Amaranthaceae. The transcript has 15 exons. The record is from RefSeq and is a predicted model, not a curated record.
CUGCAACUUCUUUCUCUCACUCACUCACCGUCACUCUCUCUCUCAUCUUCUCCAUCUUCCAUCUCCUAGAUGUAGAAAAAUUAGGGUUUUGGCUAUGGCUAUGGCUGUCACAAAAGCUUGCAAUUUCUUCACUGUUACGACGACUCGGAGCGAUCUUCUCCUCUUCUUCACUUCGUCUCUCUCCUCUCUCAUUUUUUCACGUCGUCUCUCUCCUCUUCAUUUCUUCACGAUUCUCUCAUCAAUCUUUCUCCCAAUUUUUCACUGCUAAUUCUUUCGUUAAUGUUAUAUUGAUUUCUUUGAUGAUUUUUUCGGGUUAAUUUAUUCUGAAAUUGAGUAAUUUUAUUGUUAUUAAGGUUUCGUUUUUGAUUUUUUUUGCAGAGAAUUGUGUAAUUUGGGAGAUGAACAAAGAUCGACCAUUUGAUCCUCUCGAUUUCUUCAUCUGAACUGUUGAGAGAAUUGUGUAGUUUGGGAGAUGAACAAAGAUCGACCAUUUGAUCCUCUCGAUUUCUUCAUCUGAACUGUUGAGAAAAGAAGGUUUUUAGAGAGAGAAAGAAGGAGAAGGCAUUAGAGAGAGAAAAUCUACAAAUACAAGUAUACAACCAGUAGAAAAAAACUAAACAAAAAUAGUGUACAAGAUGAAGGAGAAGCAGCUUGAUGGUAGAGGAUUUUGUAGAUUUGUAGCAACUCCAAUCCUUCUGUUCCAAGGAUGCUACAUUGAGAACUUUGGCCAGUUGGUGUAGGUGGGAUUUCAUUAACAACAGCAACAUUAGAGACAGGUCUCACAAAUUAUGUGUUGCAAGCUCUCUCUAAGCAAGAGGUCAGAACUGGAUCUCAUUCAUGAAUCAUGGCCUGAGAUUAAAGAAAGCAUAAGCGAAUGAGGCAUCCAUGGAACAGUAUACUUCUCAACAUGUUGAUAACAACGCGGCCACGAAGCUUGCUGCUGCUGUUGCUGUUGCUGCAAGGAAAGGUUGUGUUUUUCACAAACUCCGGAACGGAAGCAAAUGAGUUAGCCUUAAUGAUGGCAAGGUUAUACACUGGGUGCCAGGAUGUUAUCUCUAUAAGGAAUGCUUAGCAUGGAAAUGCUGCUGGAACUAUGGGUGCAACUGCUCUGCUCAGUGCAAUUGGAAGUUUGAUGUUACUCAGAACGGGGUACAUCAUGCCAUGAAUCCUGACCCUUAUAGAGGUCUGUUUGGAGCACAUGGAGAGAUGUAUGCAAAAGAUGUUCAGGAUAUUAUCCAAUUUGGAACAUCUGGUCAUGUUGCUGGAUUCAUCUGUGAAGCCAUUCAGGAAGUUGGAGGAAUCAUAGAAUUGGCCCCUGGAUAUCUUUCUUCUGUGUAUGAUUUUGUAAAGAAAGCUGGAGGGCUUUUCAUAGCUGAUGAAGUUCAAGCUGGAUUUGCUCGCACUGGAAGCCACUUUGGGGUUUUGAGGCUCAUGGAGUUGUCCCUGAUAUUGUGACCAUGGCAAAGCUAGCGUCCCUAUCUGCGGAUGGAUCUUGAAGGAGGGGAAUUCAGCUACUUCUUGAGCAAACUCUCCAAAUUGUUCAAUCAAUUAUCCAUGCUUCGGAGAUUGAUGCCACUAUUUCCCAGUGGCCAUAUUGGUGGCCAGACGGCCUUAGUGCGGGGAGGACGUGUAUCUAUGGAGCGAAUUGUGCUGACUGGAUCAUGAGCAUGGAGGUGCUGGUGCUGUAGAAUAUAUCAUUUUCCAUGCAGAAGUUUCAAUUGCAUUCGUAGAAGAAAAAAAGAUUCCCGAGUUGCUUAAAGCUUUGCAAAACACAUUGAAAUACUUGAAAACUGUGGUUAGUUUUGGGAAUAUCACACAUGAGCAUAAAGAAGCUGUUGAAAAACUUGGCAUGCAGAUGUAUAGUUGGGAUGACUUUUUGCAAUUGGUAGGUAGGCAUAUUUUGAUGCUGGAGAAUGUUUUAAUCUUUUGUCUACGGACUUAUCUGUUUUAUGUAGCCUUAAGUAAAUGUUGCUCCUUAUGUUUUUCUCAAUAGCUUAUAUAUUGAUAAGCAUUUGGAGCUUUGUUCAGAAAGUUUAAUACCCAUUAUGCAGUUCCAGAGUGCGAUGUGUAAAGUUGUCUUUUGUAUCUACAUAGUUAUUAAACAAUAAGUAUAAUGAUGUUUUUUUAUUGGCAA